RNAcentral lists this long non-coding RNA (2543 nucleotides) under Triticum aestivum (bread wheat). RNAcentral's name for it is "long non-coding RNA (TAES_LNC001110)". The record is from RNAcentral. Lineage: Eukaryota; Viridiplantae; Streptophyta; Magnoliopsida; Poales; Poaceae.
GGUGUUUGUCUUUCAUGCGUUUCCCCCUUCUUCGAUUUGAAAUAGUGAAUAAUUUACCAAAACAGUUUGGUGUUUGUGCAGCUGAUUUCUCAGCCAUGGCAUGGCUGUAUUUAGUGUGGCACUACUUUAUGCAACAUUUUAUGUUUGUCUUGGAGUAUAGAUUCACCUGAUUCAAUGAAGGUUACGGACAGUAAGUAACUUGCAAGCAUGAAUUUUUUCCACCAUUAAAUCUACUCCUUUUUUCCUAUGUUUACAUGCCCCCACAUAUUUACGGGUUCAACUUUUGACCAACUAAUCCUGGGUUAGUUCAUAAAAAUUAUACCAUUGAAUUUCUAUUAUAAAAUAGUUUCCAGCAGUAUAUAUAUUUUCUGACAUGUGAAUCAUCUAUUAUUGGUCAAUGUUCAAACACAAAACCUGAGGGCGCCAUGUAAAUAGAGACGGAGGUAGUAGUUAUUAGUUUUCACAAUGUAUACAUUUUUAAACUAUCAGUUUCUUUUAAGAAUUGAUGCGUACGCGUUCAAUUGAUGUCGCGAAUUCAACAAGUGCUUUGAUGUCUCUGUCUACAAGUUUGUGAGUUAGAUUGGUUCAGUAAAUGGCUUAAACUGUUGGAGGAGUCUGUGGUUGUGAUGGUACGUUCAUACGUUGUUGUUGGUAUCGUUCGCUUCCUCCCCCGCAGUGCUCCAUCGUCGAUGGAAGGAUCUCCUCGCCGAUUUUUUCCAAACAAACCGCACCCCGUCUGUUUGUUUCCAUUCAAAUUUCACUCCCAUGACAUGACAACCGAUCCCUCCCCAUCCUACUCUUUCCUUGCAAAAGCAUAACAGAAUCGAAACUUGCCUUGCCUUGACCGACACAUUCCCAGCGGAUUUCACAAAUCAAUCUUCAUCCAGUCCACCGCAGUUCCCGCUGAUCCCCUUUCAUCAUCCCCGCCGCCCCGCCUUCCAAUUAGCCAUCUUUCAUUGCAAUCAUCGAGCCCUACCAUGCAAGCAGUCCUACGAGGCUACGACUGUCGUGGUGCUGGUGGCCUCCAGCGCGCUCGCCGGGGCCAGGGGUGGACUAAGUUUCGGUGCUGUCUCUGGUGGAGACUACGGGAUGCGGCUGCACGAGAAGAACCUGCAGAAGAAGAUGCCGGUGUGGACAGAGAGGCGGACGCAGCAGGAGGCGUGUGUGGCGCAAGCGCGGGCUUAACUUGCGGGCGCGGAUUAGGGAAGAGGCCAUCUCGGUGGCGGCUUGUGACCUGGGGGACGCGCUAGCACGCGAGCCCGGUGACCAUCAUGUGUGCGUUCUGGACGUACCAUGUGGUGUAUGCCACAAUGCCAUGUGGGUUGGGCCUGCAUGAAAUGCUGAUCUGUAGCAGAUCCUCCAUCGCCUCAUCACUGGCUGCUCAAGGGCAGCAUCACACACCAAGGCCUGUGACAACAUCUUCAUGCCCAACUCUCACUCCACAUGGGAACGACACUGCUCUAUUGCUUGCUUAUUUAAGAUCAUGGCAAUCAUUUUAUCUAGCCUAUGUGUUUCUAAUUUUCUCCCCUUAUUGUUGCAGGUUAGAGUGCAGCUUUCAGACACUUCUUUCUUUGGGAUAGUUGGAAUACUAUGACUAAAUAUAGAAGAGGCUCAAAUGGUAAUGCUAUCAGUGUUUGCCCCUUCCGUGAUUUAUGCGUAGCAUGUAGACUAUCAGCGACAAUUUGAGCCUCUUUGUGAAGUAGUUUUGUAGGGUAUUGCUUCAAGUCAAGAAAAUAGCUUCCAAAGAUAGUUUAACCGAAGAGCUUCUGAUCUCUACAUGUGAAUGGUAAACUGCCAAUUUUGUACUUUACUAUUCUAUAUCAAGAAAAUAAAUAAUUGCAUCAUGGUAUUAGUGGCUUAAUUAUUUUUAUGUGCAUUGAACUAUAUAUUUUGAAGCACUUAAUAGUAUCUUUCAUGGAGGAUCUAGGACUCCUGCCAAUUUAUUGUACGGAGUUGUUCUUUGCUAAAAAAAACUUUGCUCAAUUGCGCUUUGCCUCUCAGUGUUAUCAUUAGUUAAUGGCCUAAACUGUUGACAACUUAUCAAAAAAGAAUAAUCAUAUGCAGAUGCAGAAGCAUAUUAGUCAUGCAGAAAUAAUCAUAUGCUGAAGGAAGGACUUGGAACUGUAACUAAAAACAAAAUGGUAAGUGGAGGGGCUCUGAUAUUGCAAUAAAAAGAAAUGAUAGAUAUUUCACUGGGAAGCGAACUCAGGAAGACAAAAUAAUACAAUCCUUACAUUUUCAGAUUACUCUUAUUUUCUUAUGCAUGUUCCUAUACGGAUUGGUCCUGAAUGUUUGACUUCUCGUAGAAAUGAAGAUGCAUACCCCCAACCUCAACUGUUGUGUCACCAUCGAGGACAUCUAGCUGCUUGUUAUUCUUCAGUUACUAUUGCUCUUAAGAUUCAUGUCUUAGAUAUUCUUAGGAGAGAAAUUGUAUGGAAUUUAAUGAUCAUUCAUCUCAACAAAUAUACGUGAUAUUUCCUUGUAAAAGGUUGCCUACCGAAUUUAUGGCCUACUAUUAAAGGGGAGUUUGUUUCCACUUCCAC